AAAGCAAAUGGGUUUGAAGACAUGGCACGUAAAAAAAAAUUUCUGGUUGGAUCACUUUUCUUUAAAAGGUAUUCUUUGGGUUCGUCUGAAUGGGGCUUGCCAACACAUUCCGACUAAACCUUCUCCACUACUGUUAUGUGGGAAGUGGCAUUCUUUCCUUCUCAUGGUCGCUCUCUGGGCUAAGAUUUAGUGAACCUUUUGGGGGCUUGGCUUGGUCUUCUCUUAUUCAAAUGGAAAAAAUCGAGUUUUGUGCUAUCAAGAAUAAGGAAUAGCCUUUAUUUUAGCUACAUCAGUGGCAAGGAUUGCCUCUGAAGCUGAGCAUCAUAAUAGAAAACAAAAAACCCCUUUUAAACUUUAUUAACACAGUAGAAUGCUCUCAACCAAAAAAACAAGACAUCCACACAAAUAAAGCAAAACUCCAUCUUUCAAAUAAAACAACUCUAGUUUCAUAUUUUAACUUUCAAUCUGAUAAUAUAAAGUUUGAAAAAGCUGUAAAUAUGAAGAUAAUGAGAAGAUACAUGCCUUUUCAGAUACCGGUGAAGACAAAGACGGUGGUGUGCGGUGGAAGUUAGAAAGACGUUACAGCAAAGGUCAAUAACACUGCAUCUGAAACAGAAAGGCACCAACAAAACAGAGC
Long non-coding RNA from Cicer arietinum (chickpea), 637 nucleotides. RefSeq lists it as uncharacterized. NCBI's taxonomy places the organism in Eukaryota, Viridiplantae, Streptophyta, Magnoliopsida, Fabales, Fabaceae. The record is from RefSeq and is a predicted model, not a curated record.